RNAcentral lists this transfer RNA (77 nucleotides) under Acuticoccus sediminis. RNAcentral's name for it is "Acuticoccus sp. PTG4-2 tRNA-Arg". It matches the Rfam family "tRNA". From Rfam's summary of the family: Transfer RNA (tRNA) molecules are approximately 80 nucleotides in length. Lineage: Bacteria; Pseudomonadati; Pseudomonadota; Alphaproteobacteria; Hyphomicrobiales; Amorphaceae. The record is from RNAcentral.
GGCCCCGUAGCUCAGCUGGAUAGAGCAACGGACUUCUAAUCCGUAGGUCGUAGGUUCGAAUCCUACCGGGGUCGCCA